Molecule: long non-coding RNA, 5181 nt
Organism: Acipenser ruthenus (sterlet)
Lineage: Eukaryota; Metazoa; Chordata; Actinopteri; Acipenseriformes; Acipenseridae
Exons: 3
Source: RefSeq, a predicted model, not a curated record
GGAGCUUUCUGGUACUGGAAACACUGCACGAAAACAGGAAGUAGAGUUGAGUAGUCAUUCUGCACGCAGCCAAGCAGCUAAAAACAACGCUACGGUGCAGCUCUUUCAGUGCAGCUAUUUCUUGUCACGCUUCAGCCUCGGAAAAUAUUUGUUUAUUACGGCCGCAACAAUAAUAGGAUACAAUUCAAACAACGUUGAAGAUUGCUCUGUGGAAGGAAGGGACUAGAUCUCGGGAGGCCAAUUCCCGUCGAACCACUUGGAACCUGAGAUACCACCGAAGCCCUGAGAGGGGGCAGCAUCGGUAUAGAGACUGAGAGAGUCUGCAGAGUUAGGGCUUGGAGGAUGUCUGCAUUGGAGACGGAGCUGGCAUGAAUGGGGAAGUUUAGGAUGAUGUCGGGUAAAUCCGACCCGGACUGGGGAGCUUGAACGGUGGAGGCAUCGACAACUGGAGAUGGGAACAGAGACUUGGAGGUUGAUGCAUCAGAUUGAUGAGAUCCUCACAGGAAACACCAGCGCUGUAAGAAAUGUUCCUGGAGAACAGGGUAUUGAGAAGCUGAGGAAUUUUCCAUGACUGAUAUUUCCUCUUUUUAUUGGUGUAAGCGCGUUGAAGAGACAGCCGAGACAUUCUCUUGAGGCUCGGAGUUGCUGGGCUCUCAGGAGCCGAAAUGCGACUUUCAGAUCAAGGAGUCGAAUACAUAGUGCCAGGUAAGCGAACCAAACAAAGAAACGACAGGGGUUUGUGGACAGAGAGACCUAUUUAACUGGUUCAAUUGGUAACGUAUGUGAUUGAUGGGUGGAGUCUCCUUUCGGAAAGACAACACGUUUCCAAUUCUUAAAAGCUAUUUCCCCAUCACUAAUAUCGAUGACGAUAAAGAAAUGUUUUGUUACUUUUUUUCUCUGUGCAAUUAAAAAAUCCUAGGAGACCAAAAGAAAUAGAAUUAGCACUGCAAUCCCACUGCAAUUGAAAAGGAAAAACAAUCUCAGUCAGUCACAGAGCUAUAGAACACCUCCAUUCAGCUGGCAUUAGGAAUGAAGAAUAGAACCACUAAUGACUUAGAGAAUGACAUACGACACCUUUCCAUAGACACAGGGAAAACUACAAGAACACUUCUUCUGUCACACACAGGUAGAGAAAUUGUAAAAAUAAAACUAACAGCUUCUGCUGCAGUGAAGUGAUAUAUGGGAGCAGGAGGUAGAGUAUUGAUCAGGGGACAGCAGGGAGACAGAUGCUACUGAGUGCUGGAGUUUGCUGCUGAACUUGCCUCCUUGCAAUCCUGUUUGUCUGUUUAUGAAGGUUGCAGAUGUUGAUUAAUGCCGUUCCUCUGCCUUUCGUCUCGGAGGAUUUUGUUAGCACUGUAACAACUUUGUAACACCUGGGACUGUGUUUUUGCCAUCUAAAAAGCAAUACAAUAAACAAAAGCAAUAGACAAAGGGUAGUAAGGGGGCUCUAGCUUUCAAGAAUUUCACAGUUUUUCCAGUCAGGAUAUAUACACCCCACCUCCUAUCCCCUCCCCUGGAAUAUACCAUUCUGGAAACACAUAAAAACUAUUUACAAGGCAAAUUUAAAACCAGCAUUAUUGUAAUCCAGGGAAUCCAUAUGGUAAAUCACUUGUUAGCAUUUAGGCUUGUAGCGGAAUACAGGAUUGGAAAGGGAUAUCUGUGUUACAGAGAGAAGCACUUUGGAAUGAGUAGUCCUGUGAGUAACAACAGUAAAUCAGCCGUGGCGCUGCAUGCAAGUGAAUCUCCUAAUAUACACUACAUACAUUACACUUCAGUACUUCCUCUUAACCAAAUAAAUUGUAUUGGUUCUCACAGAGUAGGACUUUAACAAUAAUCCAUGAUGUCACCAGAAGUGGGCAGAACUAAAACUGGAAGUGGCAGAAAGUGCAUUCCAGCAGUUCAGCUAGGACAAACCCCCACAGCACACAAUUUGUAAUGAAUGGUAUUUAUUUAAUGAUUAUGGUGUAUGUUACAAGAUGGGAGAUUUGGCCCCUAGCCCACUUGGUUUGAGGAGCCAUCACCUGGCUGUUAGGAUGAGACAAUAGGCCCCCUAUAGUUCCCUGUAGACAAUGAAAAGAGGCAUUUUAAGUGACAGUUCCAUUUAUAUUUAUAUUGUUUCCGAUUGGCUGAAAGGUCAUGUAUGAAGCAGGCCAGGCGCUUGAUCUUGCUUACAGUCUUGGUCAGGUUUUAUUAAACAGUGACUCCAAUAUACAGGCUUAGCAAUAGCAGAAACACACAAAUUAAUUGGCCAGCAGAUAGUAUAUAAACUGUGGUAGGAUUAGAGUAAGAAAAUAAUAAAAGUAAAGGGAAGCAGUAGAAAGCAAUCUGCACUCCACCACAUCUCCUGCACAACAAGCUCCUCCUCCUUUUCUCCCAGCAUUCUCUCUCCUCUCUCUAGCUACGGGAGCUGUUAAGGUACAAAAUAAUAUACGUACACUAACAAAAUCAAACUAAAUAUUGUAAUUACUGCUAGCUUCAUUAUAACGGCUCAGAUAAUGUAUAUAGAGGUGCAGUCCUUCCACCCGAACUGGAGUUUAAAAUGUACAUUUCUGACUCUGAAAUGAAAAGACUGGGCUUUCAUGUUCAUUAACAUUUAAGGAUUUUGAUUGAGAGACCUAAUGUGCAUUUUAGCACGCUUUACAGCACUGGGGAUUCACCCUGGAUUACAUCAAACAUGUAUCUGUGUUUAUAAUCCAGGAGUGAUGCAAUUCAGGUGGCAUAUAAAUGCAAUAAGAACCAUUCUGAAUGAUAGCAAGCAUCCAAGAAGAAAAAAGUGACUCUUUAAACUAACCUCAGAGAUAUUGGCCACUAAUCAUUUGUUUGCUUUCUUACAUGAAGAGUUUAUUUAAGUAUAUCUUUUUUUUGUUGCAUCAAAAUGUUAUUUUACCUUUCAAUUGUGUGAGUUGUUUCCUAUGUCAAUUGGCCAAUCUAUGUCUGUUCCCUAUGUCAAUCGGUCAAUCUAUGUCUGAAUUGUAAAUAGUACGGUGUAGUUUACUAAAGUUAGUGUUAAAAAUACUAACUUUAUCACCUUUUGAUUUUACACAUACAACAUUAAUAACAACACUUUUAAAUGUUGUAUGAGUACACAAAACAGCUUUAAAAUAUCUACUGUUAACAGUACACCUUGAACUGAUACAAAGCACUUGAACCUGGCAGUCGCUUUAUCCUGGGCCUACCUUCCAUACUACAGUUGUCUUAUAAACUGCUGGAGGCUGGCUGGUUGGAGAAUGAAAAGCAGCUUCUGUGUCACCUGUGACAGGAAAUGUGAUGAUGGAGCUUGAUUCCAGUGCUGCCGAUUGUGAGUCCACAUGAUUACAAUUUCCCCACAUAAGCAUCAACACCCAGGUGGCUGCAAGCCCCAUCACAGUUUCCAAUUGAAAUGCACUCGGUCUGCUUUGUGAGAAAUGUACCUGUGCAAGCCGGAGUUACAAAUGGAAAGCACUGAACUGUGAAUAUUACAUCUUGUAGCUGUUGAAUGUGCAUACAUUCUAGAAGUCUGUAAAACCACCAAUAUGGUGCAUGUUACACAGGCAGAAGGCACAAUAUAUCACAAAGAUACCAGUAUCCAGCAAUUGGAUAACCAGCUCAAUACCUUUACAGCCACUGGUUUUGAUGGCCUACUUCCAAUCUAAACCCGACUCAAUGGGGUAAUAACCCAGGCUUUUAAACCAAUUUGCUUACCCCAUAUUAGCAUUAUAACUCUCACAAGCCUGUCAUCAGUUUGCCAUUUUACUAACAGUAUUUUAUUUUUUGACUCAUGUGUAUUCAGUUCAUCCUGCUGUUAUACUGUGAGGCCAUGAUGAACCCGGUUUUGAUGACCCUAAACAUGUUUGCUCCUGAUUUUGAUUAAAACACUUUUGCCCUUCAGUGCAUUUCGAUUUGGCCUUGUCUUUUUUAUUUACAUGUUAACUGCAAGCGAUUUUGAUACCUCUGCAAAGGGAGGGACUCUUAUGUGUCAAAGCGACUACCUAAAUGAGAGACACACAUACAGUGUGAAGCCAAGACCAAGGUCAGCACUCCCCAGCUCCUGUAAGUGAGAAGGAUGUGGGUUGUGUUUUCUCUUUAAUAUCAGAAUAGCUGGUCCAGCAUAUGUAUCAUUUAAAGUAGCUGAUAAAUAUUAAGCCUAACACCCAUGCUUCCAGGUACUGCUGGAUAGCAAUGCAAAAAACAUUAUGUGUAGAAUGUCUUUUUAGACUUGCUAAAUAUGUAAAGUGACGCAGUUAGGCCUGUACGCCAUUGAAAAAUCUACGAAUACAGAAUGCUGAGAUACUGCUUAGUAUAAUAAUAGUAUUCUAUGAAAACUGCAUGGAAAAUCCUAAUGUAAUGUUUCUGAAACAAAGAUUGCAGGGAUUAAGGAUACGAUCAGUUUGCUGGAAACUGAAGAAGUGCCAGAAUCUCGUUGCUGCGUUCGUGGUAUAUACCAAAGCUUUAACUGGGUUGGCUGAACAAGCCACCUCCAUCACAGGAAGCCUAUAAGAGGAAGUGCCUGAGCAGCCAACUCUCAACAUUUUCCUUUUCAUUUCUGUCUUGAGAGGACCAGCUAUUCGGGUGAGAUUAUUCCUUUGCCUUGCUUUAUUUUUUUGUAGUUUUCUGAUAUUCGCAAAAAAAAUAUUUGUUAUGUUGUGUUGUCUGCUUAUUAGGCCUGUGCCGAGCAACGAGUACAAACUAAUAUGCAUGACGAUUACGGGCAAUUUCCAGAGUACGAGGAAUACACAAGUUAUUUUUAUAUUACACAGAGAGUAAAAAAACUAUGUAAAAAAAUUGAUUGAAUCAGCUCCCUGCUCCAAUAUGGCAGUGACAACUGUAAAUCUCAAGUCUAGACACGUUUUCCAUUAGGGGCUGUCUAAAAUUCUUAGCAUUUUCUCAAAGUGUACAGUGGGUAUCCAUAGUUACCAUACUUGGUUUAGAAAUACAUUUCUAGUCUGUAAAUAAGUCUGACGAAGGCUUUUAUGCUAAUUUGGAAAAAAAAGAACACACUUGUCACCACAUUGUACGAAAUUCACUAUCACUAAGAACUGUGUUUGUGUUUUGUGUUUAGUGUUGGUGUGUAAAACUGGACUUUUUGGUUAUGGGUCAAACCCUGGGAAUUACAAAUACCGAGUGAUACACGCCGCUGUAUCACUCCAACAUUAUUAUUUACAGGCAUUUGCCAGAAGGCUCUGGACAUUGUUAAUUAAAUCA